GCUAAUCUAUCGCCGCUGCUAAGCUAUCCCUCACUGCUAAGCUAUCCCUCGCUGCUAAGCUAUCGCCGCUGCCAACCUAUCUAUUGCUGCAAGCUAUCCCUCACUGCUAAGCUAUCCCUUGCUGCUAAGCUAUCGCCGCUGCCAACCUAUCUAUUGCUGCAAGCUAUUCCUCGCUGCUAAGCUAUCGCUGCCAACCUAUCUAUCGCUGCCAACCUAUCUAUCGCUGCCAAUUUAUCUACCACUGCCAAUCUAUCUAUUGCUGCUAAUCUAUCGCUGCUGUCAAUCUAUCUAUCGCUGCUAAUCUAUCUAUCGCUGCUAAUCUAUCGCCGCUGCCAAUCUAUCCCUCGCUGCUAAGCUAUCCCUCGCUGCUAAGCUAUCCCUCACUGCUAAGCUAUCCCUCGCUGCUAAGCUAUCCCUCACUACUAAGCUAUCUAUCACUGCUAAUCUAUCGCUGCUAAUCUAUCGCUGCCAACCUAUCUACCGCGGUGAAUCUAUCUAUCGCUGCCAAUUUAUCUACCACUGCCAAUCUAUCUAUUGCUGCCAAUCUAUUGCUGCUAAUCUAUCGCUGCUAAUCUAUCGCUGCUGCCAAUCUAUCUUUCGCUGCUAAUCUAUCGCCGCUGCCAAUCUAUCCCUCGCUGCUAAGCUAUCCCUCGCUGCUAAGCUAUCCCUCACUGCUAAGCUAUCCCUCGCUGCUAAGCUAUCCCUCACUACUAAGCUAUCUAUCACUGCUAAUCUAUCGCUGCCAACCUAUCUAUCACUGCCAAUCUAUCUAUCGCUGCUAAUCUAUCGCUGCUAAUCUAUCGCUGCCAAUCUAUCUACCGCGGCGAAUCUAUCUAUCACUAUCAUUACUAGUUCAAAAUAGAACUAGAGCAUAAAUACACUAAACUUCUUUUGAUAGGUAAUGAUUUUUGGUAACACUCAUAGCAUUAUAUCAUCUAUAUAGGGUAAAUCAUGGUCCCAUUUGGUCCCAUUUUAACAAAAUGGGACCAAAUGGGACCAGAAUCAGUAAUUUAUAAGAAGAACAUGACCUGGGACUAGAUUUAUAAUAUAAACAGUGUAAAGUGACUAAUUUAAUAAACACUAUAUGGGACCAGGACUAAGAAAUUUGAUAAUGGGACUGGAGAAAUAUUUAGUCCCAGUCCCAUGCAUGGUCACACGGCCAGUCUAGAAAC
This 1172-nucleotide small RNA is filed under the name Histoplasma ohiense. RNAcentral describes it as "hypothetical lncRNA". Lineage: Eukaryota; Fungi; Ascomycota; Eurotiomycetes; Onygenales; Ajellomycetaceae. The record is from RNAcentral.